This 4026-nucleotide unclassified non-coding RNA is filed under the name Leishmania donovani. RNAcentral's name for it is "gene:LdHU3.36.8920(CDS-product:protein_transport_ protein_Sec23-like_protein)". The record is from RNAcentral. Lineage: Eukaryota; Euglenozoa; Kinetoplastea; Trypanosomatida; Trypanosomatidae.
CACUUACACACACUUGGAGAACGCAAUAGAAGGAAGCGGAGCAGUUUGCUACUUUAUAGCCAACGCGCAUCCACAUCUGCACACAAGAAUACACAGUUACAUCUUCAUUACUCCCGCCCUUCGGCGCGUCCUUGUCACUCUAGUGGCAGAGGCAACGUGGUGAGGCCGCAUCCCUCGCUCGCAUUCCCGCUCAUCUUUUUUUUUUUCGUUUGACUCCCCCCCCUCUGAUUAGCUCGUGGAGGUCUCCUCAAUAUUCAUUCGGCAUCGCAUUGGGUCUACGAAGGCCCCUUCUCCCCUUCCUCAACCCACCCGCCACCGCCCCACAGCUGGUCCGUUUCCUUCUCUUCCUUGACGGCAGCUUUGCGGGUGCGCGCGCGUGUGUUGAACCGGAUCCGAUUCCCUGUUUGAGAGCGGCACAUUUUUCUCCCCUCCGUCUUUCUUCACGCCUCUCCACUCCCCGCGCGGUUCAAAUCGCAAGCCUUUGCCCUCCCAUUGUUAUUCUCACUGUGACAGCUUGCGUUAUCACCGGCUGAUCUUCAUCGUCUCCCACUCCACCGUCACCCGCAGGCAGGCACGCAGCUGUCUUGUGCGCGUCGAGGGCCGAAGACGCGGAGUGGGCUGGAAAGAGAACGAAGAGAAGCCACUAAAAAAAGCACCGCAACCUCGGUAGCCUGUCUUUGUGUGUAUAUGUCUGUGUGUGUCUGUCCUUGUCCUAUCGUCAGCAGCCAUUCAACGUAGGACAGACACAGAGGGAGGAGCCGGGGAACAAAAAACAGAUAAGAGAGGUUAUAGUAGCUACCACCUGCAGCGGUGGCCAGCGAAACAAAACGAAACCAUGAGCGGCGAUUACGUCUACGGAAACUACGCGGCCCAGUACGGUCAACCGCAGCCCCAGGCAUAUGGAGCCAAUACCGGUGCGUACGGUGGUGGUGCUCCAGCAAACGGCUACGGCGGCUAUGGGGCCCAAAACGAGACAUACCAACAGUAUGGCGCUCAGCAAGCAUACACGUAUGAGCAUCAACAGCAACAAGCGGCUCCAGCCCAGCAGCAGCAGUACAAUCAGUAUUCCAAUGGCAGCGAGCAGCGCGCAUCCCAAGAAGCAUACCACCAGCACCAAUACCAGCAGCGGCCACAAGCUCAGGCUCCCUCCUUUGGCCAGCCCGCCAUGGGUACAGUUGAAGAGAGACCUGCCGAAGCGACGACACGCUGGUCGUGGUCGCUUUACUCAAUGAACCGCAUUGACGGCGCGCGCAUGGUGGCCCCGUUGGGCUGUCUGUACUCCCCCCUCGGCAGCCCUUGUACCCAGCUCAACUACGCACCGACGCAAUGCACUGUGUGCGGGGGGGUGCUGAACCCGUACGCCACUCUCGACCCGCGCAGCCGCAUGUGGGGAUGUCCCCUGUGCCACACCAAGAACGCGCUGCCGCCGCAGCAUCAGCAAGCAAAUCAGUACAACCUGCCGCCAGAGAUGCAGCCGUCCUCGACGACAGUAGAAUUUGUGGCGCAUAUGCCUAGCCGCAGCCCGCCCACGUUCGUGCUGGUCGUUGACACGUGCCUCGAUACGGACGAGGAACUGCAGGGUCUGCGCGACUUCUUGUUACAGUCCCUGCAGAUGAUCCCAGAGUACGCAAAAGUGGCGAUUGUCACAUACGGCACGACUGUCAGCGUGCACGAGAUCGCUGGUCCUGCCACGUACCCGCGUGCCAUGGUGCUGCGUGGCACGCAGGAGAUGACGGUAGAGCGGCUAAAGCUGAUCUUGCCCAACCCCAGCCGAUUCGUGGCAGCGCUGCGCAACUGUGCUGCCUACGUGACGCAGCUCAUUUCCUCCAUGUCCCGCGACCUGUGGCCAGUCAUGAAGGGCCAUCGGCCACUGCGGUGCACCGGGGCUGCGCUCUCAGUUGCGGCUAGUUUGCUGCAGAUAGUAUCGCCGAACACGGGCUCCUGCAUCCUCACCUUCAUGUCCGGCGUGUGUACGUCGGGCCCAGGAAUUGUCGUGGACGUGAGUCGCGAAAAGAUGAUCCGCGUGCACGCCGACAUCCGCGACGAGACAGCGGCCGCCACGUACUGGAGCACCUCAUGCGCAUUCUACGAAAAGCUGAUGCAUCGCAUUGUCGCGCAGGGUCACUCUCUGAACUGCUUCGUCGCCUCCCUGGAUCAGUUUGGCCUGGCUGAGAUGAAGACGUGCGUGCAAUCUUCCGGCGGUGUUGUGCUGAAUGCGGAGUCGUGGCUGGAGGAGCCAUUUCGCCUUUCCCUACACCAGUUCUUUGCACGGCGCGAAGACGGAACGCUCAAGCUGGGGCUGAACGCGACAAUGGACGUCAUCACGUCGCCAACGUGGAAGGUGCAGGGUGUCAUUGGCCCCUGCGUCGGCACCGGCAAGAUGUCCGCGUCCGUGGCGGAGUACGAGAUCGGGCUCGGCGGCACCUGUCAGUGGACGACCUGCCAACUUGACUCAACCACCACCUUCGCCAUCUACUACGACACGGCCAGCACGCAAUCCAACGAGGCGGCCAAGAAUCCGCUGCGUUACACCCAAAUCGUGACGAGGUACGAGAUGGGGCAGGAGACACACACGCGCGUCACGACACUGACGUUGCGGCAGGCGCAGAACCCGCCCAUUCAAGACCUUGUCGCCGCCUUCGAUCAGGAGACAGCUGCCGUGUUGCUGGCUCGCGAAGCGGUGCACAAAACAGAUAGCAUGCCGCUCUUUGACGUGCUGCGUUGGCUGGACCGCACAGUGGUGCGUCUAGUCUCCCGCUUUGGCCAGUACACCAAAGACAAGCCUGACUCGCUGCGCCUGCCGAAAGAGUUUGUGUACUUCCCCGCCUUCAUGUACCACCUGCGCCGCUCCGGCUACCUGCAAAUCUUCAACUCGAGCCCCGACGAGACGGCGUCCCUGCGCCUGCAGCUGCUCAAGUCCAAUGUAGAGGACUCCAUUGUGCAGAUCCAGCCGACUCUGUACAGCUACCGCAUGGACGCGGCACCACAGCCGGUGCCACUCGACAGCACAGCCAUCCAGCCCGACAACGUUCUGCUGCUGGACACCUUUUUCGAGGUGCUCAUCCACUACGGCGCCAGCAUUGCUGCGUGGAAGAAGGCAGGCUAUGCAGAGCACGAGGACUACGCGCACUUCAAGAAGUUUCUGGAGGUACCACUGGCCGAUGCGCAUGUGCUCGUCGGCUCCCGCUACCCCACCCCGCGCCUGAUCGACGUGUGUCAAGACGACCCCGAUGCGCGUAUCUUGUACAACCGCAUCAACCCCAGCCGCUCCUACGCAUCCACCGAUGGUGGGGCCUACGGCUCGCACGAGGGCGAGCUCGUGUACACGGACGAUGCAUCGUUGCAGGUGUUCAUGCAGCACCUCAAGAAGCUGGCGGUGGCACAGUAGCCCGACGUCGUCUGGGUAGGGUGCAGGGUGUUGUUCGUGCACUGCCGCAGAUCAGCCCCGUGGGCUUUUGUGUAGCUGUAUUUUGUUGUUACUGCUUUCUCUCUCCGAGUAUGUGCGGUAGAAGUUGUUGUUGCAGGCGUCCGGCGCGCGUUCGGUCGCUGUGCGAUUGGUACAGAGUAUAGCAGGGAGAGGCGUUCAUUAGCGGCGUCCCCCCAUCACACCCCACCAGCCCAUCCCACUUCCAUCAACCAGUAUCGUCUUUUGGGCCUCUGCUUUACUGGUUGGGGAGGUUUCCCUGUGUGUCGCUCUCGCCCUUGUUGUAGUGGAGUGAUGUGGUCGUGCGGGGAGAAGAGGAGGAGCAAAGGUGCGAUACUCUCAGCUUGCAGUCGUGUAGAGGAGAAAAGCAUAGAGGGAUACAUAUAUACGUAUGUUUGUGUGUGCUUCGGCGGUGCACGUGCCGACUCUUUCGGUUUCCCUCUCCUUUCACAUCCUCGGUGCUGCGCUGGCCUCCUUCUUUUUUCAUUCGCGCCCGCACGGCGCUGCAGGGAGUUGGUGGUCCCCCUCCCACGUCUAGUCCUGCGGGGCAGUUGUUGGUGUUGGUUGUUAAUGCGUUCGGCUGUUCUGUAUUGUUGUUGUUU